AGGGCGCACGGCGGAUGCCUUGGCACAGGAAGUCGAAGAAGGACGCGGCAAGCUGCGAUAAGCUCCGGGGAGGCGCAAACGGCCUUCGAUCCGGAGAUCUCCGAAUGGGGGAACCCAGCAGGGGUCAUGCCCUGCUACCCGCGCCUGAAUGAAAUAGGGCGCGAGGAGGCAACCCGGGGAACUGAAACAUCUAAGUACCCGGAGGAAGAGAAAUCAACCGAGAUUGCGGGAGUAGCGGCGAGCGAAACCGCACCAGCCCAAACCCAUGCACGUGCAAGCUUGAGGGCGUUGCUGCAUGAGGGGUUGUGGGACCGCGCAUUCCAUGGGCCUCAGACCAUGGACGCAGUUACAAAUCCGCGCGGAAGCGGAACGGCCUGGGAAGGCCGGCGGAACAGGGUGAGAGCCCCGUACGCGAAUCCGCGCGGACUGCGAGUGCGGCACCCGAGUAGCGCCGGGCACGUGAAACCCGGUGCGAACCUGGGGGGACCACCCUCCAAGGCUGAACACUCUCCUGUGACCGAUAGCGAACCAGUACCGUGAGGGAAAGGUGAAAAGCACCCCGAGAGGGGAGUGAAACAGUACCUGAAACCGUGCGCCUACAAGCAGUCGGAGCCCCCGAGCGGGGUGACGGCGUGCCUUUUGUAGAAUGAGCCAGCGAGUUGCGGUAUGCGGCGAGGUUAAGGUUUGAACCGAGCCGCAGUGAAAGCGAGCCUUUAAGAUGGCGAUAGAGUCGCAUGCUGCAGACGCGAAGCCGGGUGAGCUAUCCAUGGGCAGGCUGAAGCGGGGGUAAGACCCCGUGGAGGGCCGAACCCACUUCGGUUGAAAACGGAGGGGAUGACCCGUGGAUAGGGGUGAAAGGCCAAUCAAACCCGGAGAUAUCUCGUUCUCCCCGAAAUAGCUUUAGGGCUAGCCUCGGCCGUUCUCCGACGGCGGUAGAGCACUGGAUCGUCGAGGGGGCUUCACCGCCUACCGACACGAACCAAACUCCGAAUGCCGCCGGAUCAGAGGCCGGGAGUCAGAACAUGUGGGCUAAGCUGUGUGUUCGAGAGGGAAACAGCCCAGACCGCCCGCUAAGGUCCCCAAGUUUAUGCUGAGUGGCAAAGGAUGUGCGUUUGCCUAGACAACCAGGAUGUUGGCUUAGAAGCAGCCAUGCAUUUAAAGAGUGCGUAACAGCUCACUGGUCAAGUGGACAUGCGCCGACAAUUCACGGGGCUAAGCAUAACACCGAAGCGGCGGACUAAUCUAUAUUAGUGGUAGGGGAGCUUUCCCCGCAGCGGAGAAGCCGAGAGGGCGACCCUCGGUGGAGCGCGGGGAAGUGAGAAUGCUGGCAUGAGUAACGAGAGCGGCGCGAGAAACGCCGCCGCCGUAAGCCUAAGGGUUCCUGGGCAAGGCUAAUCCUCCCAGGGUCAGUCGGGAGCUAAGGCGAGGCCGAGAGGCGUAGCCGAUGCGCAACAGGCGGACAUUCCUGUACCGCCUGCGGACCGCUAUCACCGACGGGGUGACGGAGAAGGGUAGCCGAGCGGGGUUCUGGACGUCCCCGUGAAAGCGCGUAGGGAGCAUCGCAUGGAAAUCAGCGGCGCAUAUAUCCUGAGACGCGAGACGAAAGCUUAUGCUGAAGUCGGCGAGCCCAUGCUUCCGAGAAAAACCUCUAGGAAGGGACGCAGGCGCCCGUACCAAAACCGACACAGGUGGGCAGGUAGAGCAUACCGAGGCGAUCGGGAGAACCAUGGUUAAGGAACUCGGCAUACUGACUCCGUAACUUCGGGAGAAGGAGUGCCCCUGGCGGUGGAGGGACUAGCUCCCCGAGCGGCCGGGGGUCGCAGCGAAACGGCCCAAGCGACUGUUUAUCAAAAACACAGGACUCUGCAAAGCCGUAAGGCGACGUAUAGGGUCUGACGCCUGCCCGGUGCUGGAAGGUUACGCGGAUGGGUCAGCCGAAAGGCGAAGCUCUGAAGCCAAGCCCCAGUAAACGGCGGCCGUAACUAUAACGGUCCUAAGGUAGCGAAAUUCCUUGUCGGGUAAGUUCCGACCUGCACGAAUGGCGUAACGAUUUGGGCGCUGUCUCAACCAUGGACCCGGUGAAAUUGUAUUAUUCGUGAAGAUGCGAAUUACCUGCGGAAGGACGGAAAGACCCCGUGAACCUUUACUGCAGCUUGACAUUGAUCGUUGGCUCGGCGCGUAGAGGAUAGGCAGGAGGCUGCGAAGCCCGGGCGCCAGC
This 2218-nucleotide ribosomal RNA is filed under the name human gut metagenome. RNAcentral describes it as "bacterial LSU rRNA". It matches the Rfam family "Bacterial large subunit ribosomal RNA", at positions 14 to 2175 of the family's 2925-position model. The record is from RNAcentral.